RNAcentral lists this ribosomal RNA (233 nucleotides) under uncultured bacterium. Its description in RNAcentral is "partial 16S ribosomal RNA". It matches the Rfam family "Bacterial small subunit ribosomal RNA", at positions 118 to 347 of the family's 1533-position model. The record is from RNAcentral.
UGAGGAACUUGUCCCGGUCUCUGGGAUAACAGUUGGGAAACGACUGCUAAUACCGGAUGACGUCGGAACUUCGCAUGGAGUACUGACGAAAGGGUUACUGGAUCGGGAGAGCCUCGCGGCCUAUCAGCUUGUUGGUGGGGUAAUGGCCUACCAAGGCAUCGACGGGUAGCUGGUCUGAGAGGAUGAUCAGCCACACUGGGACUGAGACACGGCCCAGACUCCUACGGGAGCAG